RNAcentral lists this long non-coding RNA (6011 nucleotides) under Sus scrofa (pig). RNAcentral's name for it is "lncRNA (ENSSSCG00025008192.1)". Lineage: Eukaryota; Metazoa; Chordata; Mammalia; Artiodactyla; Suidae. The record is from RNAcentral.
GCAUUCUCACUCAACGUAAUGAUUUUGAUGUCCAUCUAUGCUGUGUGUGCACCGUACAUUCUUUCCCUUCUGAGGAGUAAUCCAUUGUUGGAUGUGCCACAAUCUGUUCAUUCACUUACCUGCUCAUGGAUCGUUUCACUCUUUCCAGUUCUUGGCAGUUACGGAUAAACUUGCCAUUAACACUCAUAUGCAAAUCUUUGUGUGGAUUUGCGUUUUCUUUUCUCUUGGGUGUCAGAUGCCUGGGUCAUACGGUAGGGAGAUGCUUAAGGUUCUGAAAAACUGCCAAGCUAAUUUUCCCAAGUGUUUGUACCCUUUUACAGUCUCACCAGCAGUGUGGAAGGGUCUAGCUGCUCCGUAUCCUUGACAGCACUUGGUAGAGUCAGUCUUUUCAGUUUUAGCCAAUCUAAUUUAUGAAGAGGCAUUUCAUUAUAGUGUGAUUCGCAUUCCCGUGGUGAUUGAUGCUGUUUAGCACCUGUUUACGUGCUUCUUGGCCAUUUAUGUAUCUUCUUGUUUGAAGUGUUGGUUCAAAAGUUUUACCCAUUUUUUAAAUUGAGUUAUUUGUUUUAUAAAAGUCAUUGAGUUGUUAAAAUUCUUCAUAUAUUUGUUAUAUAUAUCCCUUAUACUUUUUUAUAUUUGAUAGAAGUAUUAUAUUCUAGUCUGUAGCUUGCUUUUUAUUUUCUUCUUUUUGUCUUUGGAAGAACAAAACGUUUUCCAUUUUGAGGAAGUUCAGUUUGCCAGUGUUUUCUUUCAUGGUUUGCACUUUCCCUGAUCUCAGAAAUGUUUGCCUACCACCAAGUUGCAAUGAUUUUUCUCCUAUGUUGUCUUCUGGAAGAUUUAUGGUUCUAGGCUUCACUUUUAGGUCUGUGAUCCAUGCUGGGUUCAUUUUUGUGAAUCAUGUGAGGGAAAGUUUUUUCUUCUCAACAAGAAGUAAGAAACUAAAUUGUUUCUUAUCAGUAUUUCGUUUUCCAGCACCAUGUGUGCAUUAUAUGCAUUUUUGUGUAUUUAGAAGUAUUUUUCUGAGAAGAUGUCCUUAGCCAUCCCCAGACUGCUAAAGAGGUCCCUGGCACAUGUUCUAGAGAUUCCAGCAGAGUAAGAGAUAGGGAACCGCAGACAUUCGGGAAAAGUGUUCCCGAGACGCAUGUAGGAGUCCAGCAUGUCAGCCCACCCAGUUUAGGGAGACCGCUUCUCAGCACAGUGACAUUGCGUGACAACCAGAGAUCUGGGCCAGAGCACUGACUAGAGUCUUCUCAGAGACAGGGGUGGGAUGUCCUGAACCACGCCGACAAUUAUGUUGAUGAUUUUAUAACUUCGAGAGGGGUUGCUCACAGCCCCUGGUCUACCUGUUGUCAUCGCUUCCCAUAUGAUAACUCGAUUGAAUUUCACGUCUUUGGUCCACAGGACAUAUCUAAGUCACCCUGUCUAGGCAGGGUGGCCGUCUGUCCCAGUUUGCCUGCAAACGUCCCGGUUUAUGCUUUAGUAUUAAUAGUGCCCACGUCACUCUGACAGGUUCCACUCCCGGAGCGCUCGAGACCUUUGAACUUGAGGGACUCCCAUCAUCUCUUCAGGACGGUCCCUAUGUCUUCAGGACCCUACGUUCUUUUUUGAUGUACAGUGAUUUCUGGCUGGGUCGUGGAGCUUUCUGAAGUCUCUCACUCAGCGUUUCCAAGAUCAUGCCCCUGGUACGACCUGGAGACCAGUUGGCUCUAUGCACCGUCAAAGAUGAUAUUCAGGGAGUUCCUUUUGUGGCUCAGCAGGUUAAGAACCCAAGCAGUAUCCGUGAGGAUGCAGGUUCUAUCUCUGGCCUCACUCGGGUUAAGAACAAUAGUGUCCAUGAGGAUAUGGAUUCAAUCCUUGGCCUCGCUCCAUCCAUUAAGGAUCCAGGGUUGCCUCGAGCUGUGGUGUAGGUCACAGACGGCAGCUUGGUUCCUGAGUUCCUGUGGCUGUGGCGUAGGCCGGCAGUUGCGGCUCUGAUUCAGCCCCUAGCCUGGGAACUUCCAUAUGCCUCGGGUGUGGCCGUGAAAAGAAAAGAAAAAAAAAAGAUGACAUUCAGCUAAACGCAAGGCUCAAAAAGAGAAACCACAUGUAUUUAAAAGCCGUAAAUCUUUUCAUCCUAUUUGCUUUCUCUCUCUAGGGAACAAAGAAAGCAAAAAGUGGCAGGUCUUUAAGGAAAUGUCAAGCUGCAGAACAAAUAGAAAGAGAGAGCACGUGAAAGCAAAAGAGAAGAAAAAACCUUGACCCAUAACUUGGGUUCUUUUCUGGUUUUUAGAAAACAGGACUUCUGAAAUAUCUCUAUUCUUGCUUAUUUAUUGGGGGGGGGGUAUGGAGGUAAAGAAAAUCAGAAAGGGCAGCCCAACUAUGGUCAUCCUGUGCGUGCAGCAUCAAAGGCCACACCAUUUCAUCUGUAUCUGUCCUUCAUUCAUCGGCUCUUUGUUGAGUGGUCCCCAUGCACCCAGCACUGUUCUAGGCACUAGCGAUACGGCCACGAGCCAAAGAGCCAAGUCUCUGCUGAUAUGGAGCUGAUACUCCAGUGAGAGGGACACAGCAUGGACAGAGAACCGGGUAAAUGCAUGAGGGAGCGUCAUGGAGUGAUCAGUGAUCUGGGCGAGAAAAAUGGGGGACAGUUUUGGUGAGUUUGCUGUUUUGGACAAACAAGGUGGUCAGGGAGGGACCCUCGGGGAUGGAGACUCUUCAGCAGAGACCUGAAUGAAGGGAAAACCCUGGGACUGUGUCAGGGAGGGGCAGUGUAGGCAGAGGGAACCGUGCAUGUUGGUGUCUUGACAAUGGCUUUCCGCGUGGGCAUAAGCAUCUCCCGCUGGACAUCCCUGAUCCUGAAAUUCUGAUGCUCUGCCUGAAAAUACACCCAAGAGUUGAUUUCCUAUUAUUUUAAAUAGGAGAAGUUAUAAUGCAUGACUUGUCCAUGCAAGCCCCCAAACAGUGUCCUAAGAUGGAACAAAAUACUUAAAACGCCCAUCAAGUGUCAAACUAGCUCAUUUAGGAUGUAAAAUGCUGAAAGCAUGGCUUCCUGGUCACCAAUUACUAAGGUUUUCAACAAACAGUUGAUUUGUAUGUGGUGACAUGGUGACACGGUCACCCCCCAUGGCUUGUCCCCUUCUCGGCAUCUUGGUGCACUUUUCUAAGUGUGAUAGCCUCUCAGUAGUAGCUAAAAUGUUACUUUCUUUAGCUGUUAUUUUGGUAGAAAUGCUACCUGAAAUGUUGAGGAUACAAAUGUCAUUUUUCUUUUAUCAACACUGUUCUGAUUAUUUUAAGAAACAUGCCUGCCCUGAAGUUGGAUAUGAAAAACAAAGAGGUUGUAAACCAACUAUAAUAUUAAAAAAAGUCAUUAAAAAUUAAAAAAUAAAAGUAAAUAACAGAAAGCAAGGAAAAAACAAACAAAAAACAAAAGAGGCAGUCUGUUGGGAAGCUAUUUACCAGGAGGAUAGCUGUGCCCCUCUUUCUUGUUCUUGGGUGAGGGAAGAUGUGAGAUGUGUGUGUGAUGGGAUAUUUUAUAUUUCAUGUAUGUAUUUUAUAUUUUAUAUUUGCAAAAAGCCCCCUGCCCCACCUCCACAAUGUGUGUCACGUGUUGCCUUUUUUCCCAAGGACUCAUGGGAAAACUCCUCUCCUGUGCCAGUAUCACGAAGUGUUCUGAUUUGUUCCAGUAGUCUGUUAGUUUCUGAUAGGCUUUGAGAGUCAUGAAACAGAAGCACUUUGAAAUCCAUGGCUUUCAAACUUGACAAUCUUGGGGUGUCUUCAAGACCGAGGUAUAAGGGAUGAGGCUGAGGCUGGGAGUCUUCACCUCCUUUUUUCAUACUGAGAUUCUAUGCAUGCUAACUUUUUUUUUCCUUUUAAUUCAUCUGUAAAAAAUAUGAAAUGCUUUGCAAGUUUGUGUGUCAUCCUUGCUCAGGGGUGGUGCUAAUCUCUGUAUUGUUCCAGUUUUUGUAUAUGUGCUGCCAAAGCAGGCACACUAUGCUUACUUUUGAAUAAAAGAAAGUUUGAAAGCCAUUGGUAUAAUUUGUCACACUUUCCUCUUUGCAUUGGCUGCCAGGAAGCUCAGCAUCUAAUUCUCAGUCCACCACUAACAAGGGCUCAGGACUUUUAGCACAUAUUUUGCAAAUAUCACCCUUGACUUUCUUUUCUUUCCUUCUCUGUGUUUCCCCUUCACCUGCUUUUCUUGUUUUCUUAUUCUGCUGCAACCUCAAAUCCUUUUUGGAAAGAGCCAAGGUUUAAAUGAAUGCAUUAAAACAAAAAGAAGUACUUUUCUGUAGAGGAGAUUUUUGCAGAUGGGAAAGGAAUGUGUAUAGAAAUAAGGCAUGAUUUGGCAUGGAGAGUACACAUGUGUGUUUGUAGGAUAUGUAUAUACAAGUUGGAAACAUUGUGAAGUUUGUAGUUUUCACAGUUAAGCUGGUCUUCUGGCUUCAGAGGACAUUUAUACUUGGAAGGUUCUAGGGGGGAAAAAGUGUUUUACUCCAGGGUAGGCAUGCCUGCGGUCUACACUCCAAAGAAUCUGCUUAACGGUUUAGCAUUUUCAGAUUUUGCCCGAGAUUAUUUUUCUGGUCAUUAUAAAAUAAGGACAAAUACUUAUCAAGAAGUUAUCCAGGGAUAAGCAACAAGAUCCUGCUCUAUAGCCCAGGGAACUAUAUCUAGUCACUUCUGAUGGAACACGAUGGAGGAUAAUGUGAGAAAAAGAAUAUAUGUAAAUAGAUGUGCGUGACUGGGUCACUUUGCUGUACAGUAGAAAUUUUCAGAACACUGUAAACCAAUUCUAAUGGAAAAAACAAAAAACGUUAAAAAUAUUUUUAAAAAUAAAAGAUACCACUUCACACACACACACACACACACACACACACACACACACACACACACACACAAUAUAAUUUCAUUUUGCAUGGUUUCAAGUAAAAUCCUCCAAACUGGGGAGGGGGGAAGAAAUCCAGGGAAAGAUGGGCAGGAAGGACAUGUCCCCGCAUAGGAAGGGGACUGGAUUUUCCGUGGUCUUGGGUAAGAAGUGGGAGCCCUGAGUCUUAUGUGAGUUCCUGUUUCAUCUGCUGUAAAUCUGUGGUCAGAUCCUUUUUCUCCCAAACAUGGGGACUCUCCUGGGGACUCUGCUGCACCCUGGAAUCACCAUCACCCAGGGAGCUUUAAAAAUACACACACACACACACACACACCCACACACACACACAGAUUGCAUGCAAUUCACUUGAUAUUUUCUAUUCCAGUCUGUUCCAUUCUUUUCCUUUAGGAAAAAAGAGUGUGCUUACUGCCACUGUUUGAACAACAUUAUAUGAAGGCUUGUGGGCCAAGAUAAAUUAAACACCUCUGGAGAGCAUUCAGAUGCUCAAUUGAUGAUGACUGAGAGCUUUCGGCAAAGAUGCUAUGGGAAGUGAGGUUGUGUGUACAGUAAUAAUAUUUGUUGAGCAAUUGCUCGUGCCAGCUAUGGUCACAGUAGAAAGUAUUUCCACAAGCAUGAUCUCAGCAAACUGUCAUGAUGAUAAUUAUACGUUGGUACUGUUAUCUCCACUUUAGAGAUAAGGCCAAGGACUCAUACACAUUCUGUAGCCAGAAAGCAGAAGAGUCGUCUUCAUCCAGGAGUGGCAGAUCUAACCUCACCUGCCUCCUACAAAGGGGAUACUUGUGCUCACUGAACAUGAUUGCUUUACUGAAGUUUGGGGAGAAAAAAGGGGAUGGAAUCAGCUGUGACCAGAGGUGGUUCCUGGCAGAGUGGGACCUGCUGCUUAUACAACUUGGGGUCUUAUUUAAGAAAAAUACAAAAUUGUGAGUUUGAAAUUCAGUACAAAAGUGAAUAGUUCUUUGAAUUAAGAAAUCACAAAGUUCCCGUCAUGGCUCAGUGGAAACAAAUAUGCCUAGUUAGUAUCCAUGAGGACACAGGUUUAAUCCCUAGCCUUGCUAAGUGGGUUAAGGAUCCCAGGUUGCCAUCAGCUGUGGUGUAGUUUGCAGAUGUGGCUUGGAUCUGGCAUUGCUAUGGCUGUGCUGUAGGCCAGCGGCUGCAGCUC